GUGGGGAAUCUUCCGCAAUGGACGAAAGUCUGACGGAGCAACGCCGCGUGAGUGAUGAAGGUCUUCGGAUUGUAAAGCUCUGUUAAUCGGGACGAAAGAGCCUAGUGUGAAUAAUGCUAGGAAGUGACGGUACCGGAAUAGAAAGCCACGGCUAACUACGUGCCAGCAGCCGCGGUAAUACGUAGGUGGCAAGCGUUGUCCGGAAUUAUUGGGCGUAAAGCGCGCGCAGGCGGAUCUGCCAGUCUGUCUUAAAAGUUCGGGGCUUAACCCCGUGAUGGGAUGGAAACUACAGAUCUAGAGUAUCUGAGAGUAAAGUGGAAUUCCAAGUGUAGCGGUGAAAUGCGUAGAGAUUUGUAAGAACACCAGUGGCGAAGGAGACUUUCUGGACGAUGUCUGACGCUGAGGCGCGAAAGCUAGGGGAGCGAACGGGAUUAGAUACCCCUGUAGUCC
RNAcentral lists this ribosomal RNA (450 nucleotides) under uncultured bacterium. RNAcentral's name for it is "partial 16S ribosomal RNA". It matches the Rfam family "Bacterial small subunit ribosomal RNA", at positions 354 to 796 of the family's 1533-position model. The record is from RNAcentral.